AGGACUAACGCUGGCGGCGUGCCUAACACAUGCAAGUCGAACGAGGGGUAGCAAUACCCCUAGUGGCAGACGGGUGAGUAACACGUAGUCAACCUACCUCUUAAUGGGGGAUAACUAGCCGAAAGGUUAGCUAAUACCGCAUACGAUCGUCGAGUGGCAUCACACGACGAUGAAAGGAGCAAUCCGUUGAGAGAGGGGACUGCGUCCCAUUAGUUAGUUGGUGGGGUAAUGGCCUACCAAGACUCCGAUGGGUAGCUGGCUUGAGAGAGCGACCAGCCACACUGGAACUGAGACACGGUCCAGACUCCUACGGGAGGCAGCAGUGAGGAAUUUUUCCGCAAUGGGGGAAACCCUGACGGAGCGACGCCGCGUGUGGGAAGAAGGCCUUCGGGUCGUAAACCACUGUCGAGGGGGACGAUAUUGACGGUACCCCUGGAGGAAGCCCCGGCUAACUACGCGCCAGCAGCCGC
This 470-nucleotide ribosomal RNA is filed under the name uncultured bacterium. Its description in RNAcentral is "SSU rRNA". It matches the Rfam family "Bacterial small subunit ribosomal RNA", at positions 26 to 518 of the family's 1533-position model. The record is from RNAcentral.